This is a small nuclear RNA of Dendrobium catenatum, 158 nucleotides long. RefSeq annotates it as U1 spliceosomal RNA. Lineage: Eukaryota; Viridiplantae; Streptophyta; Magnoliopsida; Asparagales; Orchidaceae. The transcript has a single exon. The record is from RefSeq and is a predicted model, not a curated record.
AUACUUACGUGGAUGGGGUAUUUACGGGUGAUCAUGAAUGCCUGUGACAUAGACUAGAGACUUUCAUUGUACUUUGAAGGGGCUAUGGUCUACCUAUGCCCAAGUAGUAGAGUGGACGUCAUAAUUUGUGGCAGGGGGGUUCGCGUCCGCGGCCCUUA